AUCUUGAACAAGGAAUAUCUAGUAAACGCAAGUCAUCAACUUGCAUUGAUUACGUCCCUGCCCUUUGUACACACCGCCCGUCGCUUCUACCGAUUGAAUAAUGAGGUGAAUUAGGUGGAUAAGAGCCGCCUCGGCGCGUUCUUAGAAGCUUUGUGAACCUUGUUAUUUAGAGGAAGGAAAAGUCGUAACAAGGUUUCCGUAGGUGAACCUGCGGAAG
This 217-nucleotide ribosomal RNA is filed under the name Bonamia sp. ex Ostrea stentina. Its description in RNAcentral is "partial small subunit ribosomal RNA". It matches the Rfam family "Eukaryotic small subunit ribosomal RNA", at positions 1596 to 1823 of the family's 1831-position model. Lineage: Eukaryota; Endomyxa; Ascetosporea; Haplosporida; Haplosporidiidae. The record is from RNAcentral.